Molecule: ribosomal RNA, 253 nt
Filed under: uncultured bacterium
Lineage: Bacteria
Description: partial 16S ribosomal RNA
Rfam family: Bacterial small subunit ribosomal RNA
Source: RNAcentral
GACGUAGGGCGCGAGCGUUGUCCGGAUUUAUUGGGCGUAAAGAGCUCGUAGGCGGCUCGUCGCGUCGACCGUGAAAACUCGCAGCUCAACUGCGAGCCUGCGGUCGAUACGGGCAGGCUAGAGUUCGGUAGGGGAGACUGGAAUUCCUGGUGUAGCGGUGAAAUGCGCAGAUAUCAGGAGGAACACCGGUGGCGAAGGCGGGUCUCUGGGCCGAUACUGACGCUGAGGAGCGAAAGCGUGGGGAGCGAACAGG